This is a long non-coding RNA of Scleropages formosus (Asian bonytongue), 2201 nucleotides long. Lineage: Eukaryota; Metazoa; Chordata; Actinopteri; Osteoglossiformes; Osteoglossidae. The record is from Ensembl.
CGACAUAGUAAAAACUAUCCUGCUCUACAAACGGGUAAAUCGGUGUAAAUGGCUUGGCCUUUGUGAAUCGAAAAUGGUUUUGUAUCUUGAACUUUCCCUGGGAAGGAGCUUCUGCGUUUGGCAUCUCUGGGCGAAAAGGACAUGUGAAACAAUCUCAAGACAGGAGCGACCGCUCGACAACAGCGAAAAGGGCGACGUAAAUAUGGAGGAAAGCAGCCUCACCGCCUACACACCCUAGUCAACACUCCACCUUCACUCUCACUCCAUCACAUUUACAUCUAUUUAUUUUGCAGACGCUUUUGUCUAAAGUGACCUCCAAUGAACUCUAUGUAGUGUCAUCAGCCCACACACCUUAUUCACCGCAGUGACUUACACUGCUAGAUACACUGCUUACACUGAGUCACUCAUCCAUACGUCAGUGGAACACACACUCUCUAUCACUCACACACACGUCAUGAACAGCAUGUCUUCGGAGUGUGGGAGGAAACCAGAGCACCGAGAGGAAACCCACACAGACACAGGGAGAACAUGCAAACUCCACACAGGCUGAGCAGGGAUCGAACCCACGUCCUCUCACACCACCCAGGUGCCGUGAGACAGCAGCGCUACUCGCCGUGCUGCUCCCGAUGGGCGGGGCUUAUCGGUCUGAAAAACGAAAGCUGCUCUGCCAAAGUUUGGUCGAUACUGAGCGCGCCGAUUGCAGCAUGAGUAUUAAUAACACAAAGAAAGGUAACGAAGAAAGACAUGAACUACUAAAGCAAUAAAGGAUUUUCCAGCACACACCGCUACUCGUUGGGCCGCUGUGGCUCUAUUAGAGCACAUUUCAUUUCUGUUUCUGCAGCCCAGGUGUGUGUUCUGUCCUCACCUGCCCGCAGGCUUUCUCGGAAGGUUCUGGACUGCGUGUCGGGCCGCCGACGGGAGCCGAACCCAAUCCGUCUGGCCCGGGGCGAGAAACUCGAGCUCCGCUGCGCUGAGCUGUGGAGGGGAAGCUGGAAACCUCCUCCACCUCCGUCCGCUUGGUGGUCCCACGCACGAAAGGCCCAAAAUAAAAAGGACAAAACUUUUGGUUCUUGUUCCGCUGUGGUGGAAUGAGCUCCCCCCAUCACUCAGAACUGCUGAAUCCCUCUCUACAUUAAAGAAGGGUCUGAAAACUCAUCACUUUCGGACUCACUUUUCCUCUGAUCUUCUAAGUGCCCGAUAAACGUACGUUUAUGUUUAAUCAUUUUUCAUAACAAUUUGUUCAAUAGUGAAAAAACCUUUAUGCAGCUACUCCUGUGAUGUACACUGGUUCAUACCGUGGUACACGACAAAUGAACUGUAUCUCUCUUCUGUUGGUGUAAUGAACUCUUUGUUUUGUUCUCUGAGAUUACGUCGCUUUGCGACGCUAUGAGAAAGCGUCUCAUAAAUGAAUAGACCACUGCAUCACCCACGAUCCACCCCGCCUGAGCGACACAGGCGCCGGAGGGAGACAGAUGCAGGCUGCCAAGGAAGGCUGAGCGCUGAACUUACACCAUACUGCACCUUCCUCCCCAGGUCCAAUUAAGCUCCACCCAGUGGGACGGGUGCCGACCUGAUGUCACAGCCGGGAUCCUCCUUGGAGCCCUCACUCGGGCCGUUGAAAAUGAUCUGGGACGCUUGUCAAGUUUCUGUCAUUUAAUCCCCUGCCAUGGAGACCGCGAGGGUUUCGCGACCCUAUGACCCAUGCCGCUCCCAGAAUACCGCGCUGCGCUGCGAUAAACGACCGUCACGCCGCGUCGAACCCCGGGGGAGAGCGUCUCGCUGUUUCCAGCAUCGCUCGACGAACAGAAGGCGUCACACACGACCGGCCUGCUCGUUCUCCGUGUCGGACGAGAUGUGAGAACAGGGCGUAGCGCUGGUGCCGUUCCAGAGUGACGUUCGCUAAAGCGCCUCCCACUGAAAUUCGGUAGCAUGAGCAUCUUAUGGGCUGCGAGCACUUCCUUCCAGGAGCCCUGCACUCACGCCUACGGUUUAACCCCAGAAACAUCCGAAGACUGAGGAAAGUAGAAGACGGGAGGCGUGUGCGUGCGCGUGUGCGCGUGUGUGUGAGACGCGCCGAGGGCACGAUUUUCACCGCAGUCAAGCCAAGCUGCAACCCCCCGUUGAGACCCUGAGUGACGGUCGGCGGCCAACGGUCAGCAGGUCGUCCUCCUGGACCGAAUCGCUCCUUUGUGCAGAAGCUC